GUGACAGUUUAUUUCUUUUUGGUAAAUAUUAGUAUUAUAAAUUUUCACAAUUUAAUUUGAAAUUCUUUAUAUUUUUUUCCGAAAAUGUCAAUAGUCUCUGAAAAUGUUCAAUUUCUUAUUGAUCAAAAAUAACGUUACUAAAUACAAUUAUAUUAUUGAUUAAUUUUAUUAUCUAACGCUAUAAAAAUUAUAAUAUACGAAAUUUUGUAGAAAAUAUAUAUUAUUUCCUGCUGUAAUAUUUAAUUUGUUCAAAAGAAUAAAAAAGCUGUA
This 270-nucleotide unclassified non-coding RNA is filed under the name Bombus terrestris (buff-tailed bumblebee). RNAcentral's name for it is "misc RNA ENSBTSG00005034505.1". The record is from RNAcentral. Lineage: Eukaryota; Metazoa; Arthropoda; Insecta; Hymenoptera; Apidae.